Molecule: ribosomal RNA, 215 nt
Filed under: Pheidole sp. GAL18.01
Lineage: Eukaryota; Metazoa; Arthropoda; Insecta; Hymenoptera; Formicidae
Description: partial large subunit ribosomal RNA
Source: RNAcentral
GAAUUUUAUAUAAAUUUAAUUUAAGGUUUAGUAUAAAAUUUAUUAAGUUUAUAUUUUAUUGGGAGGAUAGUUAAAUUAUAUAAACUUUAAAAUUAGUUAAUCCAUUAAUUUAUGAAUUAGAAAUUAAGGAGUAAAAAAAAUUUUAAAUAGAAUUAAUUACCUUAGGGAUAACAGCGUUAUAUUUUUAGAGAGACCUUAUUGAUAAAAAUGAUUGC